GUAAAUAUAGUUUAAAAAAAACAUUAGAUUGUGAAUCUAAUAAUAGAAGAUUAUACCUCCUUAUUUACC
Molecule: transfer RNA, 69 nt
Filed under: Lepus capensis (brown hare)
Lineage: Eukaryota; Metazoa; Chordata; Mammalia; Lagomorpha; Leporidae
Also listed under: 12 other names
Description: tRNA-His
Rfam family: tRNA
About the family: Transfer RNA (tRNA) molecules are approximately 80 nucleotides in length. Their secondary structure includes four short double-helical elements and three loops (D, anti-codon, and T loops).
Source: RNAcentral